This 416-nucleotide ribosomal RNA is filed under the name uncultured bacterium. RNAcentral describes it as "bacterial SSU rRNA". It matches the Rfam family "Bacterial small subunit ribosomal RNA", at positions 29 to 451 of the family's 1533-position model. The record is from RNAcentral.
AUUGAACGCUGGCGGCAUGCCUUACACAUGCAAGUCGAACGGUAACGCGGGGCAACCUGGCGACGAGUGGCGAACGGGUGAGUAAUACAUCGGAACGUGCCCAGUAGUGGGGGAUAGCCCGGCGAAAAGCCGGAUUAAUACCGCAUACGACCUACGGGUGAAAGCAGGGGAUCGCAAGACCUUGCGCCAUUGGAGCGGCCGAUGUCAGAUUAGGUUGUUGGUGGGGUAAAGGCCUACCAAGCCGACGAUCUGUAGCUGGUCUGAGAGGACGACCAGCCACACUGGGACUGAGACACGGCCCAGACUCCUACGGGAGGCAGCAGUGGGGAAUUUUGGACAAUGGGCGCAAGCCUGAUCCAGCCAUGCCGCGUGCGGGAAGAAGGCCUUCGGUUGUAACGCUUUGUCAGGGAAGAAAC